This 74-nucleotide transfer RNA is filed under the name Ilyonectria destructans. RNAcentral's name for it is "tRNA-Val". RNAcentral also lists the same sequence under 36 other names. The record is from RNAcentral. Lineage: Eukaryota; Fungi; Ascomycota; Sordariomycetes; Hypocreales; Nectriaceae.
GGUUCCGUGGUCUAGCUGGUCAUGGCAUCUCGUUAACACCGAGAAGGUCCCCGGUUCGAGCCCGGGCGGAAUCA